Molecule: ribosomal RNA, 254 nt
Filed under: uncultured bacterium
Lineage: Bacteria
Description: partial 16S ribosomal RNA
Rfam family: Bacterial small subunit ribosomal RNA
Source: RNAcentral
UACGUAGGGUGCGAGCGUUAAUCGGAAUUACUGGGCGUAAAGCGUGCGCAGGCGGUUAUUUAAGUCAGGUGUGAAAGCCCUGGGCUUAACCUAGGAAUUGCGCUUGAGACUGGAUAGCUUGGAGUGCGGCAGAGGGAGGCGGAAUUCCACGUGUAGCAGUGAAAUGCGUAGAGAUGUGGAGGAACACCGAUGGCGAAGGCAGCCUCCUGGGCCAGCACUGACGCUCAUGCACGAAAGCGUGGGGAGCAAACAGG